AUGAACGCUGGCGGCAUGGAUUAGGCAAGCAAGUCGAACGUACUCCCUUCGGGGAGAAAGUGGCGAAAGGGUGAGUAACACGUGAGCAACCUGCCUCCGGAUCCGGAAUAAUCCAGGGAAACUUGGUCUAAAACCGGAUGAAGACAUUGGUCCGCAUGGUCUAAUGUUAAAAUAUUUAUAGUCCGGAGAGGGGCUCGCGGCCCAUUAGCUUGUUGGCGGGGUAAUGGCCCACCAAGGCUACGACGGGUAGGUGGUCUGAGAGGAUGGUCACCCACACUGGGACUGAGACACUGCCCAGACUCCUACGGGAGGCUGCAGUCGAGAAUCUUCCGCAAUGGGCGCAAGCCUGACGGAGCGAUGCCGCGUGAGGGAUGAAGGCCUUCGGGUUGUAAACCUCUGUCAUCCGGGACGAAAACAAUGACGGUACCGGAAAAGGAAGCCACGGCUAACCACGUGCCAGCAGCCGCGGUAACACGUGGGUGGCGAGCGUUAUUCGGAUUUACUGGGCGUAAAGGGUCCGCAGGGGGCCUGCCACGCCUGCCGUGAAAUUCCAAGGCUCAACCUUGGACCUGCGGCGGGUACGGGCGGGCUAGAGUGCAAGAAGGGCAGACGGAAUUCCAGGUGUAGCGGUGGAAUGCGUAGAUAUCUGGAAGAACACCGAUGGCGAAGGCGGUCUGCUGGCUUGUAACUGACCCUCAGGGACGAGAGCGUGGGUAGCAAACAGGAUUAGAUACCCUGGUAGUCCACGCCGUAAACGUUGUGUGCCAGAUGUGGGUGGGUUCGGCCCCAUCCGUGUCCAAGCUAACGCGGUAAGCACACCGCCUGGGGACUACGGCCGCAAGGCUA
This 846-nucleotide ribosomal RNA is filed under the name uncultured anaerobic bacterium. RNAcentral describes it as "bacterial SSU rRNA". It matches the Rfam family "Bacterial small subunit ribosomal RNA", at positions 29 to 896 of the family's 1533-position model. The record is from RNAcentral.